UCCGGUAUGGUGUAAUGGUUAACAUUGCCGCCUCUCAUUCAGUGCGAUGGUGCCGAUUGAUUACGCGGCAGCUCAGGGUUCGAUUCCCUGUCCCAGGA
Molecule: non-coding RNA, 98 nt
Organism: Mycena floridula
Lineage: Eukaryota; Fungi; Basidiomycota; Agaricomycetes; Agaricales; Mycenaceae
Source: the annotation of a GenBank genome assembly